Molecule: ribosomal RNA, 333 nt
Filed under: uncultured bacterium
Lineage: Bacteria
Description: bacterial SSU rRNA
Rfam family: Bacterial small subunit ribosomal RNA
Source: RNAcentral
UGCGUAGGCGGUGCCACAAGUCACUUGUGAAAUCCCCGGGCUUAACUCGGGGCCUGCAGGCGAAACUGUGGUGCUGGAGUAUGGGAGAGGUGCGUGGAAUUCCCGGUGUAGCGGUGAAAUGCGUAGAUAUCGGGAGGAACGCCUGUGGCGAAAGCGGCGCACUGGACCAUAACUGACGCUGAUGCACGAAAGCUAGGGGAGCAAACAGGAUUAGAUACCCUGGUAGUCCUAGCCCUAAACGAUGAUUGCUUGGUGUAGCAGGUACCCAAUCCUGCUGUGCCGCAGCUAACGCGAUAAGCAAUCCGCCUGGGGAGUACGGUCCGCAAGGCUGAA